This 77-nucleotide transfer RNA is filed under the name Ferrovibrio sp. Its description in RNAcentral is "tRNA-Ile". It matches the Rfam family "tRNA". From Rfam's summary of the family: Transfer RNA (tRNA) molecules are approximately 80 nucleotides in length. Lineage: Bacteria; Pseudomonadati; Pseudomonadota; Alphaproteobacteria; Rhodospirillales; Rhodospirillaceae. The record is from RNAcentral. RNAcentral also lists the same sequence under 1 other name.
GGGCUCGUAGCUCAGUUGGUCAGAGCGCGCGCUUGAUAAGCGUGAGGUCGGAAGUUCAAAUCUUCCCGGGCCCACCA